This is a long non-coding RNA of Caretta caretta (loggerhead turtle), 4201 nucleotides long. RefSeq lists it as uncharacterized. The record is from RefSeq and is a predicted model, not a curated record. Lineage: Eukaryota; Metazoa; Chordata; Testudines; Cheloniidae.
CUGCGGGUGUAGGCAAAGAGGAGAAAUUCAGUGCUGACAAAUAGUAGGGCCUGUAACCAGGGAGAACAAAGAAAUCGCGUACUUGCAACACCCAUUGCGCUAACGCGAGUUUAAUCUUGUCUCACGAGUACCGUUGCAAAAUUCCUUUUGUGUGGAGCCCGGCCAGCUCCUGUCGUUGCUUCAGGGAAGGUGUUGGGAGUCGGAAAGUGGGUCUCCAGGAAGAUGGUUUUCUGAAGUGGUUGAAACUAGAAGAAAAACAUUUUGAAAAUCACUGCGCUGUUCGUUUUUAUAACGCUCUCAGCGCUAAGGGUUAUCUCCCCCGAUCCUUCAAUUUCGAUCUUACACAAGUAACACGUCAUUCAAGGAUGGUCACUUUAGGCAUCUUCCUUUCCCAGUUGACUGUCCGUCCCAUAACUAUUAGCAGCAAUCAUAAUAUGAGGGAAAUUAAAAGACAAGUUUACUCUUAUUUCCAGUAUUAAAGUAUAGGCUAAGUAUGAAUAAGAAGAAUAGGGGUAGUAAAACAGGAGUGGAAUUCAAUACACAUCUCACUGAAUUAAAAUCUUUUAUAUACAACAAAAACAUUUUUUAAGAUUUUAAAACAGACUAUACAAGUCCUUUGUACCAAGAAAUCCAGAACAAGAAAACUCUGGGGGUGAGAAGUGAAUUUUUAUGUUGCUCUAUUCUGUUUUACUUUGAUGUUUCUUUCUUUAUUUUUGGGUGCCUAGUGCUUCAGCCUGGGUUAUGCAUAUACAUGCCAUUAUACACUUGCAAAUUCAAAAUCGUUUCUUUUAAUCCAUUUAAAUCUUUUUUCUAAAUAUUGUGCCCGGUAUCUGUAGCAAAAAAUCAGUAAAAUUGUCCGGUAGAUUGUUUUUAUAUAUUAGUAUUUUUGAGGGGGAAAGUAUAGAGAAUAAGUGUUUAUACCAUAAUAUAAAUUUAUUGCUGACCAAAUUUCUUUUUGAAUAAGCUUUCUAAAACAAUUUGAGAACAUAAUUUAAAUGUUUUUUUCACAUUUGAAAACUAGGUCAAGAAAUAGCUCUUAGUCUGAAACUGUUGAAUUGUAAAGGGCAUUUUUUCCCCUAAAAAAAGUGUUUAUAGAUGAGCUCAAUCUCUGGAGAGAAAAAAGAGGGUGAUAGUGACAGUGCUGACAACCUUAACCAUAGCCUUGGAUGACUUUUCUAUAUAUUGUAAAGGGUGUAAUGAGGAAAGAGGAGGGAAAGUCUCCAUGGAAAAUUCACGUUGAACAUUAUUGUUUAAGUUCUACUGAAGUAGAACUGCCAACAGUAUUAUCGAGCUGUACUGGGACUGCAAUGCUUCCACAUGGGUGGCAAUCCAUGUAUUGUAAGGCUGGCUCUGCACACAAUGCAACACAGGAAAUUUGGAGUUACAUCUCUAUUUUGGACUUUAAUUCACUUUGCGUUGUCUAGAUAUUGAAGAAAAUCUUAGGAUAAAGGUGCUCUUACUAAGAAUCUUAUCUGUGUUUUCCUUCAGGCAGAGAAACAUAGGGACACACUGGAGGAUACAUUUUUAAAAGCUGAUCUUUUUUUGUUAUUGCUAGUUUAUUGCUCAGUUAAAGUAAUACAUUGAUAAGAUGGCUUGAUGCAGUCAUUUAGUUCCUGGUGGAAAGGAAUCAAUACAGGGAGUGAGGUAUUUAAUUAUUUACCAGGCAGUGCAGCUUGUUUUUUCCACUGGUCAGAUUAAAAAGACACUGUUCUUUCUUCAGACCAAUCCAAACAGAAAAGGAUUAGAGCUUCUGUUAACUCCUCAUAGGAUAGAUCUUCCUACAGUUCACAGGCCUACCAUCCUAUCUCCUUGCUGCCAUUUAUGCACAGACUAGUGCAGGGAGUCGGGUGCCUGGUGCAGUUAAGCUAGUACACCAUCCUAUAAGGAUCCCUGUUGAUUCACUAAACCUAAUUGUUGAAUUGCUGGCAACGGUUUCAGAGUUUCUUUCUUGGGGGAACGGGAGUAGGAAGAAAAAACAAAGAAACACCUACCCUGGACUGUUAACCACAACUUCCAGACAAAAAAGAACCAACCGUAAUGGUCUUCUGCUGGAAGCUCAUAGAUCCAGUCAAGUUCUAAAAAACCCUUUGUAGGUACUUCCAUCUGCUUUGUAUCUUCCUUUGCCCAUGUUGUCUUUUUGGAAAGCAGAUGGGCAUUGCGCAGGCCAGGCGCAAUGCUAAAAUGGAGAGAGCAGGUAUAACGGAGGGCAGGUAUUCUGCUGAAGAGAGCUGUGUUCUGAGCUCAAAACUGUGAGUCUCCUGAGUUCUGAUCCCAGCAAUGACACUUAUGCCCUUUGUGGCCUUGGGCAAGUUACUGAAAACUCCUUGCCUCAGUUUACCUAUCUGUAAUGGUGAUGAUACUCAGAGUGUUGUGAAUAUUAAUGAAUUAAUGUUUAUAAGGUAUUUUAAAUGUGAAAAGAGUUAAGAAUUAUUCUAAUAAAAAGGGAAGGAUAACCCUUGUAGGUGGAGGCAGGGAAACUAAUUAAAAUUGGAACAUAUACUCUCAAGUAAUUAAAAGAACAUACAGACUGUAGGUCAGCAACAUAUUCUUUAUUGUGCAUUUCUGCUAAGUACAGACUUAAAAUGGCUGUGCUUACUUUUUAAGGCAGACUGUGAAAAUUUACUAUAUGUCCUAUGAAGAGCUACGCUGAAUACAAGACGUAUAAUACUCACUCUCAUAAGCAGUUUACUACUGGGUGACCUUCUGCUGUUUAUUCUAAGGGAGUCCACAUACUGACUAGUUAGUACAAAGAAGAUAUAAAAUGAAAUGCAAACUAUGGCUCAGGAAAUAGAUGGCUAUCCCCACCCUUAGCAGUUAUUUGAAACACAGGCCCAGAUAGUCUCCUCCUGUAACAAAGUCCACAGGAGGAUUUUGGAAAAUAUCUGCGGGGACCCCCUUGGGGAGAUUCUCUCUCCUCCCACUCACACAUAUACUGUUGGGGGAAGAAAUUGCCCGCCCUUGGGGAGGGAAAGCUGCUGUCCUGCCCCCAAACACAGUGGGUCCAUGUCCACUUUUGUCCCAGCAUGCCAGUCCCUGCUUCUUGAAUGCAUGACUCCAGUGGAGCCACACUGCCAGAGACUGAGCACAAAUGUCCUGCCUGAGGGCUCUUAAAAAAAGAUAAUAUAGCCCCCAGGUGGCCAUAUGGGACUGGAAACGGGGGAUGACUUCUAUGACUGGACUUGUUACUAGCCUGCCCAGCACCUCACCUCAUCCCACCCCACCCCACCCCUUCGCUCUCCAGCCCUUCCCUCAAUACAGUCCCGAAAUCAUGGAGAGCCUUUUAUAUUAUCUAGAGAAGAGGGGCACAUGGUGCCAUGGAGGCAAUUGAACCCCUCUCCCACACAGGGGAAGGGAGAGAGUUCCAUACAGCCGGUAAUUUCUUUUUAUGUAUCUUCAGUGUUUACAAGGGAUCUAUCAUAAUCUGCAAGCAGUCUACAAUAAUGAAGUCAAUGUCAAACUGAAUUUGUGAGUGGUAGGCUUCAUCGCUCCAGAUGAAAGAAUUAUUUAUUAUGUGCAAGACACUCCAACUGGAAACUGGCAGUUUCUCCCUCUCUCUGUGUGUUAUCCCUGCCUGAGGGGAAAUGAUGAAGGCCUUACAUUUCUAGGGUCAUGAAGCCAUAGAUUGGCUAUCUGGACAGUGCCAAGGAACGAUUCAACUUCCAGCUCAGUAGGUGCAGAAUGACUGUGGAAUGUGCUUCUGGUCGACUGAAGGGACACUGGUGGUAUUUACUCACUAGCUUAGAUCUCAGUGAGAAAAACAUCCCAAUGGUUAUAGCUGGAUGUUGUGUACUGCGUAAUAUAUGUGAGGUAAAGAGCAAAAAGCUGCUGUUGGGGUGGAGGUACAAGGUGAAGUGGCUGUCCGCUAAAUAUGAGCAGUCAGACACCUGGGCUAGUAGAAGAACCCAACAUAGAGCUAUGUGUUUGAAGCAGGCUUUAAAGGUUCAUUUGCAUUGUCUGCCACAGUAGCAUUCUCUCUUGCUGGCUUGAGAUAGUCUGUCUUGGAUAAUUUAAAUAAUGUAUUUUGGGGGGGUUUUGCCUGCUGGUGUCUGUUGUGUUGUGCCUUCUGCAAAUGAUAAAUACUGCUGGACCUGGGGCUUUGCUUGCUGCUAUGAAUUGUGUGGACCUUGCUGUAAAUUUAUAAAUAUGGCUGGGUGUUUUCCUGACACUGAAUACUGUGGUGCAUGGUGUGUGUUUAUAGAUA